AAUUAGUAGAAUAGUUGUCCUCAAACCAGUAAAGUAGAACUCGACAAGUCUCAGCAGCAUUGCAAAGUAUAUUGUAGAUCACCUAGAAUAUUACUUCUAAGGUUUGGAAACUCAUAGUUACACUUUUGUAACUUGUAGUUGUCUUAAUUUCUCCAAAACAGUUGUCACUCUCAGAUGUCUGCUGUAUUAGAUAGACUGCAGGUCUACAAAAUUGCAUAUGGAUAUCUCCUGCAUUGUUUGGCUGAGGGAGGGACAGGUGACAACUCAAACCAAAACCUACAACAGCCUCAGCAUAAAAGAGCUGGGCUUUGAGAAUGCAAUGAACAUGUCAUUUCACACCAGAUAUCACAGCUUAAAAUUAACAUGCAGAAGCUAGCCGUACGAUAAAGAGGACACCUCAAGUUCCAUGUAGAAGUCCCAAGACCCUGUACUGUUGGACCAGUAGUGAUGUCCCCUUUCCUUUUAUACUAGUUAUCUCAAAUAGCAUCAUCAUAUCGUAAUUAAGUUACGUAGUUCUUCUCGAAUUGAUUUGCAUAUAAUUGCCUAAUCAUCAAAUCAAUUACAGACUAGCAUAAUGGUCCGAUUGCUCAAUUGUGUCUUUAUUUAAACUCUACACAGCAAACAUGCUAGAACUGCUAAUGAGGAAUGCAACAGGAAUGACAAAUGAAGAAACAUAUUAUAAGAAGUGUGUGAAUCAAAACAUUUUUUGAAAUUUCAAUUCAGUGCAUGAACUGAGUCUGCUAUAAACGUGAUUAGAAUAGUAAAAUAUAAGCCAAACACAGAAAAACAUACAAAAUAACUGGCAACUAAAGAGAUUGAGAUAGUAAUGAAAACAUACCAAUCAUAAUCAUACAGCAUGGCCUUGCUCUUUAGCUUUCUUCAGCCACUUAAGUGUGCUCUCCAACGUUGUGUAGGCAGCCACAUCAGUCAAACUCUUACUCUCAACUGCAUAAUCGAAAACUUCAUAAGCCUCAGCAACCUUACCAUGCCUACAAAGUGCCCUCACAAGUGUGGCAUAAGCAGCAGUCUCGAGCUUCACACCACCCUCCUUCAUCGCCCGAUACAAUUCAAUCCCUUUCUCCAUCAACCUCGACUUACACAGUCCAUAAAGCAAUGUAUUAUACGUGCAUGAAUUUGGACUACAUCCUUUACCCUCCAUCUCCUCCAACAACGCCAAUGCACCCAGCGCAUCCCCUUCCCUACACAUUCCAUUCAUCAAUGAAGUAUACGUAACAGCAUCAGGAAGAAACCCUGCUUCCACCAUGAUUUUCAAGAACUUCUUUGCUUCACCCACUCUCCCACAUUUGGACAACCCAAAAAUCAACGUAUUAUAUGUAACAAGAUCAGGCUCAACGCCUUCCUCUUUCAUUUUAUUAUAAACACCAAUAACUUCACCUCCUCUACUCAAAUUACAAUACCCUUUCAUAAUAGUAUUGUACACAAAACAAUCAGGCUUAAACCCCGAAUCACUCAAGGCACUAACCAAUCUCAUAGCCUCACGUAAAUUCUUAGUAUUGCAAACAUUAUCGAUCAAAAUGGUAUAAGUGACAAGAUUUGGCUUUAUACCCAAUGAAGCACGCAUUUGAUCAACAAAAUUGUAAACAGUAGUCAGAGAGCGACAUUUACACAAACACUUGACAAGAAAAUUGUAGGUAAAAAUAUCAGGGGGGAAGCUGUUUAAAGAUAAGCCUUUUACCAAUUCAAUAGCAUCGUCUAAGCGAUUGACAGAACAUAAGGACCUGACAGCGAUGUCAGUGGUUCCUUGAUUGGGCGGGUACCCAUUAGUGGUCAUGAGACUAAGCGUUUUGCGGAUAGAGGAGAAGCUAUUAUCAGGUGCUUGGCAGGACUGGGCGAGUAAGAUGUGGUAAGUUGAGCGGUCGGGGUUGAAAGAUGGGUUAGCUUUGAUCAUGUGGUUGAGAAGGGAGAUGGAGUCAUCAACGGUGGAGAUGGAAGCGUAGGACUGGAGGAGGGAGUUGUGGAAGGUACGAUCACGUGGGGUCUGCAUUGUGGCUGUUACGAGGGAAUUGAAGAUUUUUAUGGCUUCCGAUAAUUCUGGGGAUUUGAAGAUAACAGCCGGUGCAGGCGUCUUUUUUUCAGAUUUAUUUGCUGCUGCUGAUUUUUUAGAGGGGUUUUCAUUUUUGUAGAGAAAUUGAUGAGGGGAUUUUAGGGCUUGCGUUGGUGCCGGUGUUUUGAGAAGGUUGUUCGACGAAAUUGCUGUGCGGAGAGCCGGAGGAAUUUUGCCCAUUUUGGUGUGCGAAAUUAAUUUCGCGAUUGCUUGUUCUUUGGUUUCCUCUGCAAAUUUGAGUCGCAGGGUUUGAUUUGAUUUUUUUUUUUUUUGGAAGGGUUUUUUGAUUUGAUUUGAGGCUGAGAGUCAAAUUUGAGUCGCAGGGUUUGAUUUGAUCUCUGCAAAUUUGAGUCGCAGGGUUUGAUUUGAUUUUUUUUUUUUUUGGAAGGGUUUUUUGAUUUGAUUUGAGGCUGAGAGUGGGGGAAAGAUUGGUGUACAAAGUGGGCUGGAGCUGGUUUAAACGGGCUUUUUGUGAAAUUUCACUGUUAACUUUACAAGGCCCAAUCAAGGCACCACUUUUGCCUCAUGCAAGUAUAAAACGAGAUGCUCGACAAACAAGUAAUUAACCCCCAUUUGUUGGCUUUUAUUUUAUUAUUUAGAAGAUGGAAUUAACAUAUCACAUCAUUAUUAUUAUUGAUUAACUUGGACAAGUUACGGCUAAGCAUUAAAGGGUCUUUGGUUGUUGCAGUCCAAAUUGUUGCCGUAGCUGACUUUCAAAAUGUCACAGUAUCUCUUGUAGAACCCGAUGCGAUCCUCCGCAUUCGGAUUCGAACCUUUACCACAUUCAAUGCCACCAUUGAUGAUGUUGGUGAUAACCCCAUAACCAGGAAGGCGACCAGCUUGAGUAUCGGCGGCUGAUGGCUUCCAUUGGCCUGUGAUAACAUCGUGGCAUGAAGGUUUUGGUGACUGUCGGGUCAUCCAGAACCAGAAAGCAGUCUUGAACGAAAUAGUAGGAUCAUUUGCCACAGCAUCUGGGUUGCGAAGCAAGUCAACGUUUAUGGCUUUUCCUGCUGGACCGUAGUUGUAGUUGCUGCAUCAUGAUUCAUGCGUGGGCGAAGUCAAUCAUUACUUCGAGCUAAUUAAUAUAUUAUUGUUUUACUUCUACAUAUAUAUACAAAUUAAGUUAAUUUAAAUCUAAACUGAUUACUAAUGAUGGUGAGACCUACGUACGACUAGUUCUCUAGCUAGCUAAUUACGAACUUACUAUGAAAUCUGGAUGGGACCUCGGCCAAAAUACUUUUUCCCAGGUGCACAUGGCCAUUGUUGACUUGGUUGACAAUAAUCUCCAGGGUUUCCUUGCUCCUGCUUGAAGCAAUAUCCCCAUGCAUAUGGACCAUCGGGCGCAGUAGGCCAGCCACCUUCAAAUUAAAUAUAUUUGCAUUGCAUUAAUUGACUUCGUUAAAAUUCAUUUAAUUAAUUAAUCAAUUAUUAGCCACCAUAAAAUAUACGUAUGUAUAAUUUAAAUUGGUCACCUAAUGCAGCUAAACAAAAAAAAAAAAAAUCAAUUAAAAUAACCUGUAGUUUCAUGUGAAGUUUGAGCCAAAAAGGCCGCGAUUUCUCUUUUGCGAGUAUCGGUGUUACCGGUUGUUCCGAAGGCACCAAAGGAAUUGGCGGCAGCGAUGAAAGCGUCGUAAGUGUAAAAACCUUUUCCUUGGCAAGCAGCAUCAUUACGAUGCUUCAACAGCUGUUCAAAUAGGUCCCUGCUAAUUAGUGAACCGAUAUUGUUCCCGCCGCCGCUUGGAGCAGGUACGGGAGUCGGAUUAGUCGGCGUGGGUGAGGGUGACCCACUGCACUGGCUUUGGCAGCCAUUGGUGCAAUAAGCAGGAGUGUUGCCGCAGAAGCCAAAUUUGCUGCAACACAGUCCUCCUGGACAUACAGCUCCUCCAGCCUGGCUGCCACACUGUUCAGCCGACGCCAGAUUGAUCCACAAUGCCAGAGCUAGAGCCGAACCCCAUAAUAAUCUCAUAUACAACUCCAUUAACUUAAUUUCUUUUUAUUACUAUGAUCAGUUUUUUGUUUUUUUUUGGGGCAAUUUAUCAAGCCAUAUAUAUGUAUACAUUUGGCUUGAAGAAUUUAAUUUAUAGCCGCUAGCUACAUAUUGGACGUAACGUGUACCAACAUGUGCAUGCUCUCAAUCCCAUUAUCUUAACUCUUUAUUAAUUUGACUAUUCAACAUUAGAUGGCGAUACACGUUGUCUGUCGGCUACACGGCAAAAUUUUUGCAGAGAGGAAAGGACUAUAAUAAACGUUGUCCUUCGGCUACACGGCUAGACUUCUGUCCAAAGGAAAUAUAUAUGAUCAGCUACUUUGAAUUAUUCUUGGAUGUUGAUAAGAUCGGUGAGAGCAUCAAGAAAAGUCUAAGGAGAAACAAUUAAUGAUUACCCUCCACGGAAAUUUUUUAUAUUAUUACAUUAGAUAUCAAAAUCUUUGUUAAUAUAUAUGCCGAGAAGAUUGCGGGGAAUCACAUGCAGUACGCUGUUGAUUAUCAAUUUAUCAAUAAUCAAUCUCUUUAUUUGCGAAACAUAAAUUGUUGUUGACACCAACGAUGGGUCAGUAUUGGACCAGCUGGCUUUAGAAAAUUUUGAAGAGUAAUUUUUAUCGAUUUAUAAUUGUUUUAAAUUUGUGAUAGGCGCUCCAAUUCAGUAUUAAAAUUGUCCGGAUAAUUUUGAAGAGUUUUAAAUUUAAACCUCGUUCAUUUUUUUUUUUUUAAAAAAUUAUUAAUUAUUUUGAAUCUAGAAACAUGAAUUAGUCACACCUAAAUGAAGACUAAAGAAAUUUAACAAAACAAGGGAAUGAUUAAAAAACAUGAAACUAUAAAUGAUUUCCCUCCUGUUCUUCUUCUUCUUCUUCUUCUUAGUUAUAUACAUGCAAAUAUUGUAUAUUAUCGCAUUGACUAUGAAAUCACCAUAUAUCAUUUUUAAAACACAAAACCUUGCAACGAUAAUGUGAUUAAUAAAAAUUUAUCAAUAAAUAAUAAUAUAAUAAAAAUUUAGGUAGCAUGCUACAUACAUGACACCUAAAAUCAAAGAGUUACAGAAUGUAAAACAGCUGAGCUAUCAUGAGCGAAUAAUCAAAGCAUAUUCAUUCCAAAGUGAGAAAGAUUGAACUAAAAUAACAUGCCAAGGCUGCAAAAUUUUUUAUUAAAAAUAUUAAAUUAAAUUUGUGAUCUAAGCUAAUUUUCUUGAUUGAACAGCAGAUGCAAGACUGGCCCUCCAUCAUAUAUGUGUGUGUGUGUGUGUAGUAACAGCCUGCCCGGUGCAAAAACUAUGCAACAGGGCAACUCUAUCUCUACGGACAACGAGAGCAAAGCUUCAUUCCCAUUAAAACCAAGAUCGAAAACGAAAAGUAUCUUUCCCCUUGAUUUUUUUGGCCUUUUGAAAAUUGGCUAUUUAUGAUUCACAUAAAAAUAUUUCUCUCUUCCUCUUCUAUGAGAGGCUAUUUAUGAUUCGGCGUAUUUGCUAUAACUGAGGAGUUCUAAAACAAAUUAAAUUCUUCAACACGCAAAUGAAUAAAAAUCCAGCGAGCAUCAACAAACAAACCCAGCAAACUGGCCAGUAGAGUUUGAAGAACAGAAACAGCAAACAAGAAAUAGUCGAGAACAGCUAUGAGAGUGCAUUUAUACUAUUGUCAAGAACAGCUUUGCCUUUGGUGACAAAUCGAAAAUUCCGAAAAAGCAACAGCAAUCUGCAAAGUAAAUCCAUAAGAAGAAGGACUUGCUGAGGUGGUGAGGGUAAUAUAGUUCUAUCAUGUGAAUAUGGGAUAGAGCAACGAGUCUUAUGGUUAGAUAGCAAUGGGUGGGUCAUACAGUGAGACCCACCAAAUUUAAUAUUAAAAAUACUAAUGAAUGCCACAAUAGAACCACUAUUAUGCCACAAAGAGUGGUUGCAUUAAGAUAUAUAUCCGGCCAACUCAACAUAGAAUAAAUUUUCAUAUUGACCACCUUACGCUAGCCCAUAAAAACAAGGAAACUGCAUUUUUUUUUAAGGAAUUAUAGAAUACAUCAUAAGUAUCAUAUGAGCCAUAUAACAAAUUAAUAAUGUUAUGCUAUAUGUGUAUUUAUUUUAAAAUAUUAUUAUAAUUAUAUAAUCUCUAAUGUAUUUUACAAUUUAUCCUUCUUCAAAGUGCGACUACAAAUUAAAGAAACUGAUCAGCAUGGAUCAUUUCUAGCAUACAAAUAAAUCUUGAUCUUGUCUUAUUAAAUGAUUCAUCCUGUCUUAUUAAAUGAUCUUCAAAUACAAGAUAUUUCCAAUAUUACAUAGUAAUGAAUAUAAUAAUUAUUAAUUAUAAUUUUUUAUUGGGAUGAUUGCCAUUGGACUCCUCAAAACACUUAAUGCACUUGAGUUGAGUUGAGAGUUUUCUCUUUUUAAAGAGAUUCUUUUCUCUUUUUAAAGAGAUUCUAGAAUACUUUUUUUUUUUUGGAUACAUUGGAGCCUAGUAAAAACUAGGCUAGAGUGCUUCUAUAAUAUUACACUUACUUAAUGUAUUUAUGACGUAUGCACAUUUGUUUUAAACAAUCAUAAUGUAAUUAAUAGUUAUAUUUAAUACCUGCGCACUUGUCUUAUAUGCAUUAAGUGGGUUUAAUGCGUUAGAAUUACUCUAUAAUCUCUCCUCCCUUUAAAGCAAGACAAUUUAGGGUGCAGUUGCAAAGGGUGUUUAAUUCGCAAUAAUUUGAUUUGGGUUCUUUUGGAUUAGCAAAGCAAUAUCCCCAUGCGUGUAGACCAUCAUCUGCUUCUGCCCGCCCUCCUGCUCGAUCGAUCGAGCUCAAAUAUUAUCAACUUAAUUAAUUAAUAAAUAAAUUAUAUGCCUGUUUAUAUAUGUUUAAUCUAAUGAAUCAAUUAAUGAUAAAAAAAUAUUACACUUCGCUAGCCCAGCGUACUAUUUAUACGCACAAAUUGAAUGUAUACUAAGUAACCUGUAGGUCCAUGAGAAGUUUGAGCCAAAAAAGUUGCAAGUUUCUUCUUACGCGUAAUAUAGUUAUCAGUUGUGCCAAACCGGUUUAAAGGAUUUGGCAGCAGUAAUGGAAGCAUCAUAAAUACAGAAUCGAUUACUUUGGCAUCUAACGUCGUUUCUGUAUUUAAGCAGCUGAUCAAAAAGAGCUGAGGUGAUUACAAUGAGCCACAUUGGCUCUGACAAUUAACUCCGCGGUGUUGAGGUGUGUUGCCGCACCAUCCGUACUCGCUGCAGCACACAGCUCCUCCAGCUUGUCUUCCGCACUGUUCUGCUGAAGCUAUUCCCCGUAGAAAAUAGAAAUGACAACAAAGCUAUUACAUACUAAGAAACGGAAACCGUGUGCAACUUCAUUUUUUGUAAUUUUAUUUAUUGGCUAUUCUGGUCCAAGUGGCGGCCUGCGUGUUAAUUGGGACGACUACUUCACUUGUUUAAAAUCAAAAUUUUCCAAGAAAGUCAGCGAUUUAAUGAUCGACGGACGACAUUUUAAAUCUUGCUCAAAAUCAGAAUUGUAAGGCUAACGUGAUGUACUCUAAAAUUUCUCCUCAAUCUAAUAAUAUACCUGCAUUCUAUGACUUUAUCCUCAAUAUAAUAAUCUAGCUGCAGUUUUAUGACUUUAUGCGCAUAUAUGAAAAACGACGAUAUUCAAUUAAAUUCUUCUUCUUCUUCUUCCUCUCAAUGUUUGUCCUUUAGCCUGCGAUUACGAUAUGUGUUAGUCAAUGUUUAUCCUUUUAGGCUGCGAUCAAGAUAUGUGUUGUGCGACUAACAUACUAAUCUUUAACGGAUGCCAUGCCUACGUGCGUAUGUAAAGGGAAAAUUAUACAUUGCGCUCUGUUGCCUACGUGUGUACGUGAAGGGAAGAUUAUACAUUGGAUUCUGUAGGCCCGUGGUAAAGAAUGAGGGAGUGAGUUCCAAGUCCCUAUAAUUUUCCUCUAAUAAGAGAGCAGUAUACUCUCUAAAAUUAGAGUAGAUUCCUCUUCAGCAAAGAAAUAUUACUCUGGACGUGUAAAAUAUUAGUAGUGUUUUAAUCAAAGAGGCAUCGAAUGACAUUAACUUACGGCCUUCAUAGAAAUUGCGUAACACGUAAUACGUAUGUCCUCCUAGACUCUGUUGAUCUAAUUCUUCUUUCUUGGCAAUGGCAUGCAGCGGUUAAUACUUAUUAUUAUAUCUUCCUUGUUCUGAGAUGAUAAGUUGAUUGAAUCAUUUUUAAAUAAUACUGAGUUGUGCCUUUAUCCCACUAAAACACGCUUAAGUUCCGAUAAGUUUCAGUUCACUUUGUGCCCCAUGACAAUAAUUAAAUAAUUAGAGAUUUUGUUUCAGUCAUGUUAAAUUGCAUCAUCUACAUACAUGUCCUUCUUUUUCAAACGUUUUAAUUUGUUACUUACUUGGUUGGGAAACGUCAAACGGUAGCUUAUUUAAAUUAAAUAAUGUCAUCCCUAUAUAGUGAUUUGUGGCAGUGUCACGCUUGCCUUCAUUUUAUUUGAUUCUUCUUUUUUAUCUUAUUUAAUCUGUGUCUUCGUCAUCGCCAUUUUCGUAGUGCUGUUUGAGGGUUGUACACAUAUAAAUCUUGAAAAGAUAAUUCGCAGUGGUCUACAUUUAGUUUAUUCUUCAAAAUCUUGGACAAAGCAAAGUAAUGAAUUCUGUUGUGCUCUUGCAUCAGAUUGAAACGUAUUAAAUUUAAAUAUAGUAUUAUGUGUGGUGUAGUAUGGACCAUACUUGGGCCGCUGAAGAUAACAUUGACCUUAUGCAAAAAUUUUAAAUAGCUGUUGCAAUUAAAAUUUACUUUACUUUAGGUAUAAAACAAGAAACUAAUGUUUAUGUUAACAGAUUAAAAAAAAAAAAAAAGCAUGUUCAAUUUUAUAAGUAUAGAUUUGAAAAAUGUAGAUUACAAGUAAAUUUUUUUUCCUCAAUUAUUUGUAAGAGUAUACUUUUAAGUUAAUGCUCGACUAAUCUCUGAUUAUAUCACAAGUGUACGGAUCUAAAAUUCCAACAGACUAGGAGUAAUUUUUUUUCUCAAUUAUUUGUGAGAAUAUACUUUUGAGUUAGUGCUCAAUUAAUCUCUAAACUAUAUUACAAGUGUAUGGAUCUAAAUUUCCAAUAAAUUUUAGAUUAUAAUAUAUUUUAAGAAUAAUAACAACUUAAAGAACUUUGAAAAAGAAAAUGAAUGGUUUUGGACAAGGAUCCAAUAUUAAUAUGAUUUUUGUGCUUUUUAAACUAUUUUUUAGAUUUUGAUAUAUUGAAAUAGGUAGAUGCUACUCUUUUGAAUUUUAAUCGGCCAUUAAAAUAUAUUUAGAAAGAAUUCAGAUGGGUCUUGAUAAUAUAUUAGAGAAGAAAAUAAAACUUAUUCCACUUGAAAAUUUUAUCUCUAAAACAUGGAAUUAAUAUGUAGAAAAUCAAUUUAUCCUAAACUAGAGCCUUAAAUUUAGAUGGAGCCCUAAACAAUUGCCUAAGGUUGAGUCACUACUAGAUCGUACAAUAUAUGGUAAAUUUUAUAUUAAUUGUUAUUAAUAAUAAAUUACUUGUUAAUAAAAUAAUAUUACUUUUUACAAAACAAAAACCACCGACGACCGCUCACCACCAUCGGCUGCCAAUGGCAGACAUCUUUCAGUGCUGAAUUUGGUACUGUUAUAAUCUUUAUCUUCGGCUUUACAUAGUGGUAUGAAUAAUACCAGUGAUUAAGUUUCCAUUUGUUGUAGAUCUAAAAUUAAAAUUGGUCUCUCCGUAAUUUCAAGCUCAGAUCUAUGAUGAAUGGAAGCUUAAUGUGAUCUAUAUCUAUACCAUUCUUCAAAAGGAGGGGAAAAAAAAAACUUAAAAAACUAUGAGAUUUUUCAAUGGAGGGCAGAGGGUAAUUAAAGUGUUGUACUAUGUAGUAAAACCUUUAAGAAGCAUAUUGCCAUCAAUCUUGUGAACCUGGUAAUCCUGGCCAACCAGAAUUUGGCAAUCUGGGUUCCUUCAAUUAGUUAGUGAUGAUGACAACCUCCCGUGUAAUAUAAGGAGCUUGCCAUUGGCAACCAUUGCAAAAAUGCCUAAUUUUGUGCAAUAAAUUAAGCAUAUUCAUUUCAUUCCUGCAAGAAGCAGUAUUUUAUUUUAUUUAAAAAAAAAUUAACAUAAUCUCUUUUUUAGCAGAAGAAUAUAAUAAAGCACCAAAUAUAUAUACUGUCAAAGUCAUGCUUGGCACCACCUUUGUAGAUGGGCGGUGCCAAACUAUUAACAUUUUCAAAAUAGUCACCCAAAUUGAAGUCCAAGGAGGUGCCGCCCAAGGAAAGAAAAAGAAAACUUUGAAUCAAGCCCUUGGAUAUAGACUAAAAGCCGAACCACGUAAUUUCUUGGUGUCCUUUUUUGUACUUGUUCUUCUAAUUUUAUUUUAAUUGUGGCCCUACUUCACUCAUCAAUUUGCUAACAUAUACUACUAGGCACUAGCUAAAAGCUUCGAGCAAAUUAAACCUAAUAAUAAUACAACGAAAAGGAAGAUCGGAACGGUCUUGAUCUCAUGAAAAAACACAACAAAACCAUUUUUUCUUUGCAGAAUACUGCUUGUGGUGAUUAGUUUCAGUUUUAUAUUUGCUCCGCGACGUGACGUUCCCAGCAGCAGCCGAGCCACCCCUUUUCUCUUCACUGGCCUUGAUAAAAACAAAAGAAAAUCCAUCAGCAGUUGCGGGAUCAUUCACAUCCCACUCCCCGAAUUUCGGAAGUGUGCUUCCGUGACCAUGAGAUGACAUGAUGAUGGAUGAAUUGAUCACUAACAAGUAAUUAAUAAUGGCCUUGAAUCUUGAUUAUCAGAUAAAUCAUUUGGUUAAUUGAACGAUAUAUCAUAUAUAUAUAAACUGUCGGUGGUGUACAUAUAUGUAAUGUGCAUGUACCUGAUCGAAUAUGAGGAUUGGGAGUGAUUCAGAUUUUUUGGACGAUCAAAUUAAAUAUAGAAAGUCGUUUAAUUAAAGCAGAAAAUGGAUAAGAUUAGAGGAGUUGUUAAUGCAUUCAAGCCACUGCACUCGUAUCAAACACGGAUGGGACGGUGCCUUUUUGUUAGGCUUUUAAGCACCAACCAAUGUAAUUUGCAUUGCGUGUGCAGAUUGCGGAAGCGUUACGUGAGUGGUGAAUCAGUUUAUGGCCCGUUAAGCACGUGUUACCUGCUUCCUUAUCUUUUUUUUUUGACAAGUUCUCUUUUCUUUUUCUUAAGUUUUUCCUUUUUUUUUUCUUUUUUAAAAGUGAGAAUGUUUAUUUUUAUCUAAUUUUCGUUAACUUCAAAAUGGAAAGAGUUCACACAAUAACUCCGCCGCAAAAAACCAAACAAUAAAAUCAUAACACGAAUUUUGCCGACACAUGUUCAGUUCAAUAUUCACUCCAUUGUGCCGUCAGCAGAUGAAUAGCAGCAAAAAACUCAAAUGAUUUUAUUAUUAUUAUUCGAAAAAAGUUUCUAAUGGAUACUCCAACAUUCAACCACCUUUCUUCCCUCCCCCCCCCCCCCCUCUACCAUCAAANNNNNNNNNNNNNNNNNNNNNNNNNNNNNNNNNNNNNNNNNNNNNNNNNNNNNNNNNNNNNNNUAACAUCAAAAUCUAGUGCCUUUCUAGUAUAUUAUGUCUAUUUUUAUACUCUUUUCGAAAUAAAUAUCAUUAUUUUUUUUGUUAAAAUCUUUUUAAGAUUAAACGUUGUUGUAAUUUUUUUGGUGUAGAUAUAAAGCGAAUAAGUAGUAUUUAAAAUAAUUAUUAUACUUCUAUUACGAGAAGUUCAAAUUCUGAGUUUUCGAGUAGAAAUUAUUAAGUUUUUCUUUAGAAAAAAAUGGAUGGUACUACACAUAAGGUAAUAUUUACUUCUAUAUUUAUGAAAUUCUUUCCAAUUCUUUUACGUCAAAAGUCAACUUAUUUGAUCAAAUCUCUACAAACUUCGAUAUGAGCUCGUUAUUCUCCAUCAGAUAAUAUAAGUUCUAAAGAUGAGUAGAUAAGGGUCCUAGCUUCACUUGUUCACUUGUUUGCUUUUAUUUAGAAAUUUGAGGGCAAGUUGCACACAAGCUUGAUGGACUGAGUUGAACCCAAGCUUUACCGAUUAAAUUUGAAUUUAAUUUUCAGUUGGAAUUCUAAAAGAGAUAGAGGAAGAAAAAAAUAUUUUUUCUUUGCCCACCUUUACUGGAUUCUCUCCCCCCCCCCCUCCCCAAAAAAAAAAUUGUACACACACAAUCAAAGACGACUAAAAAUUUCUUGAUUUUUAAAUUUUUUUUCUUGUUUUCUAGUGAAAUCCACGUCAACAAACAAUCGAAGUCCUCAUAUUUUGUGCAUACCAUAAAGAAAGAAAAGAAGUGUUCACAUUGUAAACGUAAAGUGAAUGACCAAUUAGUACGUAAUAAGGUCCUUGUUAUCUUACAUGAAUGGAUAACAAACAUUAGAGAAUUAAAAAAAUCUUUCUUAAUUUUCUAAAACUUUUUUAUUAUUGUUCAUUACAUUUCUAACCGUUCGAUUAAAUCUAACUGAUGUCAAUUCUAAAUGUGUAACCCCCUAGGAAAAUUAAAAUACGCAUAUUAAAGCUCUCCAAUUAAUGUACCAGUUGGGACUUGACUUGAGAGUCCCAUAGUCUUGUAUAGGAUUGGCCGAUUGAGAAUAAAAAGACUCGCAGAACAUCUUUAUGAGUACGAAUAUCAACUAUCAAAAUGAGUAAGAAAGUAUUAAUUGCUAUCACGAUCGAAUUCUUAUAUCAAACUAACUUAAUUUUUGCGUCUUGCGUCUAUAAUUCUAUAUGAUAUAACUGAGUUAAUUUCUUUGGCAUAUGUAAUAUAAUAUUAAAUGGUUUAUGGGCUGACUCAGAGACCAGAACUUAGCUGUAUAGUCUCGCACUGGGUAAUUUUUAAAAACUUCCCCUGAGGAAUUUCAUUUUCAAGUUUUUAAUUUUAUCUUUUUUGUAGAAACUUUAAGAAAAUAUCAAUAAUUUAAAGAGGAUUUUUAAAAUUUUUAAUUUUAUCUUUCUUGUAGGAACUUUAAGAAAAUAUCAAUAAUUUAAAGAGGGUAAAAUAGCCAACAAUUUUAAUUUUUUUUUAAUUAUUUCCGUCUACAAAUUAUUGUUAAGGGUAAUAUUGUCUUUGCACAGUCAACUAACGGUCAAUGUUAAAAUUAACUGACGGUAGGGGAUUUUUUACAAAUAAAUCAAUUCUCGCCAUUUACUUACAACAAGCUCAAACCUCAGGGGAGGUUUUUAAAAAUUACCCGUUUCGCACUAUAUAUAUAUAUAUAUAAUUCCUCAUAUAGGAGGUAGAGGUAGAGGUAAAGGGAGAGAGACGAAAUGGCAAUGGAAUGUUUGGGCGGUCGUCUGUGCUCUGCCUCUGCUAAUAACGUGCCAUUGACUCCAAUAGACUUCCUAGAGCGAGCUGCCCAUGUCUAUGGAGAUGCUACUUCCAUUAUUUACGGCACUGUUAGAUUUUCUUGGAGACAAACUCAUCAAAUAUGCCUCAAGCUUGCUUCUGCUUUAGCUCAGUUGAAGAUUUCUCGUGGUGAUAUCGUAAGUUUCAUUUUUCCUCAUCUUCAUUUCACUCAUUCAACGCUUUAUGCAUAAAUAUUUUUAUUAAUAUUAAUUGAUUUCUUCAAGAUCACUUCUAAUAUUAUUGCCUUCCGCUAUAUAAACAUAUAUACAGCUAACCGGCCUUAUUAAUUACUACUUAAUGCAUGGUUUGUUUCUUAUUCAUAGCUACUGAUUUUUUUGUUAACAAAUUAAAAGUCUCCACAUAACAAACAACUCCUCAAACUUGAAACCAGAAUCCAGAAGGUCUUGCUUCCACAUGAAAGUUGUAUGAAUGGUAAAAGAUUGAUAUUACGGGACUCAAUUAUUUGUGACCGAUGCACACGCACAUAUGCAUAUCUGUGUUGGUUUUGAGUUAAGCGAUGAUUUUACAUGGUUUUAAAGUCAGAUUUUAGGUCCAACGAUAACUUAAUUAACGAUAGCUUUAGAUCGGAAGAAAUGUUAAUAACAAACAAUAACAUUGGAAACAGCGAAGACAAUCGACGGUAUGAAUCUGCUAUUUCUUCCAUUGGAGAUGCUCAGCCUCAGAAAGCUUUAAAAUAUAGAAAAAAAAGGAAAAUAACCUUUGAAAAUUAUUGAUACUACGUGCCAAGUGGACUCCAAAAGGUCAAGAUGCAUUAGGUUCAAGUCAAUGGAGUUUAAUAUAAAACCUCUACUUGUAAUUUGGUGAAUAUAUUUUAUAAAUGUUGUUAUAUAAAAUAUACAGCCAUUGGAGAAUUUGUACUUUAUAGCCAAAAAUUGAAGUGAAUAUAGUAACACAUUAAUUGGCGGACCCUCUUCAACUUCAACAAACUCGCAAGUCUUUUAUUAAUUUCUUGGUGUUCAAUUAUGGAAAAAUUCUAAAAUUUUUAGAAUUGCACCCAAUCAUGAACCCGGACAAAUUAAUUGCAAAAUUUGUCGGUUCCAUUUUGCACGAUUGGUGCAAGUGACUAGUCCAUGUUCGACGAACAUUAACAUACAAAAGAAAGGUCAUCAUAAAAUUAAAACUAAAGUUAAAAGGCAUCUAUUUCUAGCUAGCUAGUAUCCAAUUUCGAUUCGACUGUCAAUAGGUUAGCGGGUCAACUUGGAAAACAGCUCAUUGGGCCCUGCUUGCUAUUUGGGCAGGUUGCGGCUAUGGCACCAAAUAUUCCAGCACUGUACAAGCUGCACUUUGCUGUUCCAAUGGCAGGGGCAGUUCUCUCUGCACUUAAUACCAGGUUAGAUUCAGCCACAUUGGCAUCAAUUCUUCGACAGCUGGAAGCCAAGAUCAUAUUUGUCGAUUAUCAAUUUGUGGAAGUUGUCCAAAAUGCACUUGACAUACUCUCCCCCAAUCACAAAUGUGACAAGGCACCUCUCCUUGUGACAAUCCCUGAAUGUGACCACUACCAACCAAGUACUUGUUCAGUAGCCAACAAUUUCCCAUCGGGUAGUUUGGAUUACAAUGAUCUUCUUGAAAUGGGAAAAGCUGAUUUUGAGAUGAUGCAACCGAAUCACGAAUGUGAUCCGAUUUCUGUGAAUUAUACUUCAGGAUCAACUGGGGAUCCUAAGGGGGUAGUUUACAGCCAUAGAGGUGCCUAUCUCAAUUCUUUGGCACAGAUUUCUCGCUGUGACGUGAGAGACAUGCCUGUGUUUCUAUGGACACUCGACAUGUUUCGAUGCAAUGGCUGGUGCUGCACUUGGGCAAUGGCCGCUGUUGGUGGCAUCAAUGUCUGCAUUAGAACUGUCUCAGCAAAAAUCAUAUUUGAUUCUAUACUUAUUCACAAGGUUACUCAUUUAUGUGGCCAGCCCAGAAUUCUCAACAUGAUUGCAAAUGCAUCGGCAAGUGACCAAAACCAACUUCAACGGAAGGUAAUUAUUGUCAUUGCUGGUGUUCUGCCUACAGUCGAGGUUCUAGAACAAGUUGCAAACUUUGGAUUUAACAUCCGCCACGCAUAUGGAAUGACAGAAGUUCUUGGUCCAGCUAUUGUAAGACAAUGGAAACCUGAAGGGGAGUCUUCAGAAUUGGAUCAUGAACAUGAAAUGACCAAACAUCGCGAAGGGCUUAACAAUCUUCUAAUUCAAGGGGUCGAUGUGAAAGACCAGAAUACGAUGAAAAGUGUACCACAUGAUGGAAAAACUCUGGGUGAAGUAAUGUUUAGAGCCAAUACUGUGAUGUUGGGAUACUUCAAGAAUCCGAAAGCAACAGAGGAAGCUUUCAGGAAUGGAUGGUAUCAUACUGGUGAUCUUGCAGUCAGAAAUCCUGAUGGGUACGUUCAAAUGAAGGAUCGAAGAAAGGACAUUAUCAUUUCUGGGGCAGAGAUUAUAAGCUCAUUAGAGGUGGAAGCAGUGUUGUUAAGUAAUCCUAAGGUUUUGGAAGCUGCUGUUGUUGGAAAAGUUGAUGAUCAAUUGAAGGAAGUGCCUGUUGCUUUUGUGAAACUGAAGGAGGGACGUGAAGCAAGCCCUGAAGAGCUUGUUACGUUUUGUGGGGAUGAAUUGCCAAGUUGUAUGGUUCCAAGGGCCAUAUUUUUUGAAGACAUACCAGUCAAUUCUACUGGUAAAGUGCAGAAAUUUGUGCUCAGGGGGAAGGUCAAUGCCACUGCCGUGGGGUGGUCACUCUAAUCAAAAUAAAGGUUUAAUUUCAUGUAUCAAAAAAAUAAAAAUAAAGGUUUAAUUUCAUUCGCUUUGAUUCCCCUGAGAUACUACUGUCCAAAUUUCAAUGUUCCUUGGAAGUCAAAAACUUUAUGUAGAGUCAAUUAGAUCAAAUAUUCAUGACAGCAUGUUAUCAAUUAAUAUUCUGUGUUACCAAAAUUUUACUUCCGGUUUUGAUAUCCACGUUAAUGAUCCCAAGAAGGGCCCUAGGUACUUUUUUUUUUUUAAUAUUGUUAUAUAACAGAUUCUACAAUUGAGAUCUUCUAUAAUUGGAAUAUUUUUCGUGGCAUGUAUUCAUCUACAGAUUCUACAAUUGGGAUAUUAUGUUUACUUCCCGUUUUGAUAUGUAGAGUCAAUUAGAUCAAAUAUUCACGACAGCCUGUUAUCAAUUAAUAUUCUGUGUUACCAAAAUUUUACUUCUCGUUUUGAUAUCUACGUUAAUGAUCCCAAGAAGGGCCCCAGGUAUUUUUUUUUUUAAUUCUGUAAUAUAACAGAUUCUACAAUUGGGACAUUUUACAAUUGGGAUAUUUUUCGUGGCAUGUACUCAUUUACAGAUUCUAUAAUUGAGACCUUCUACAAUUGAGAUUUUCUUCGUGGCAUGUACUCACAAUUGGGAUAUUCUUCGUGUCAUGUACUUAUCUAAAGCGCUGCUCUUCUAAAGCGUUACCUAGAUUCUUUAAAUUCUCUCAAAUAUUCGAGGACUGUCCAUCCUCUAAAGCGCUGCCUAGAUUCUUUAAACCCUCUCAAAUAUUCGAGAACUGUCCAUCCUCUAAAGCGCUGCCUAGAUUCUUUACACCAUCUCAAAUAUUCGAGGGUUAUCCACUCCGCUCACAUUUCGUGAGGGAUAGACUGACUCCACUCAAUUAUUUGAUAAUUGAUGGAGGAUUGUAAAUAACCCUCAUAAAUAUUUUUAUGAAAACUUAAUCCUUACACUCAACAUUGUAAGUGCAAGAGUUCUCACACUUGACCAAAGACCCAUUGGUAGAGCCCCAAGUACUUAAAUGUUCACAUAAAGAAUCACUACAAAAAACAAUGUGCUCAUCGUAUAUUCGACAAAGCUUCUGUUUUCACGUGAGCAUUGCCUUCGGACAGCAGGGGCCCUAGUACCAGACACUCAUUUCAAUAAUUUGAGGAAAUUUUAAUCACCACGGCAACAGAAAAUUGAGAAUUAAUGGGGUUGGUAUGAUUAUGAUGGAAAUUGGCCAAGACAAAGACCAAUCAAGCAUGUUGUAGGGCAAUGUAUUACGCGUAGCAUCAGUGAAAAUCUGAAUUUGUUUUUCCAAUACAGCUAAGCUGAUCAAGAAAGCGAAUGGAGGAAUGCACUUAUUGGGAGGGCCACUUCAGAGAAUUAAAAACCUAACAUGUGAAUUUCACUUGAAAUGAUCAUAAAAUUCCAAUUAAUGAAGUCAAUCUCAUGGUAGCUUGAUUUUAAAAUCACAUUGAUUUUUGCGAAAACAACUUAUCAACUACUUCUUUUAUUGUGCUUUUUCAAAAUAGAUUAUUCUUCUGGUCCUCUCUCAAAAAAUCAUCCUCACCUUAGAGAAAAGUCAUACAUAUAAUUUUAUUACGAUUUACCUUGAAGAAAUUUCUCUAAGUUCUAGAUACACGCAGCAUUAUUUUUGUCAUUCAUGUAUGUACUACAUCAAAGCAACAGAUGUAGUACAACUAAUAAUAUCACGUGGCUUGUUUAAAUAAGGAAGUUAAUGAUUGAUGGAAACUAGAAAAAAACGAAAAAGAAAAUGAUCGUAAACAACCUAGAUGAAGCCCUCAAUUCUUAGGAAAUCCUUUGAUAAUCAUAAUUGGAAUUUAGUGUUAAUGUAAGGUUAUUAUGUUUCUGCUGCUCAGUGCUUGUAAUCCAGUAAUGGCACGUGCCCUUUAUUUUAACAUAAGCUUAUAAUUAAUCCAGUAAAGUAAGGCAGCGUGGCAUAGGUAUCCUGAUUUCACAUUUAUUUGCCUAUAAUAAUAUAACAUUAUUUUAACUGAACUUGCGUAUUAUAUUAAUUGUACAACAAACAAUUAAUGUAAGAUAAACGUGUAUUUAUUUUAAAAAAUCAUGAUGCGGCAGCAAUUGUAAUACAUCAGAGUCCACACACUGACGCUGACACGUUCAACAAAUGCACAGCUAACCGCUACAUAACGACAUUAACGAGCUGCAAAAUUGCCACCGACCGUUUGUCCUCCACUGAGACUCUUCAGUUCAGGUAAUAUUUUCAGUUUUCACGCACUCUGCUUAAGCUUUCUUUGUCCAGUUGAACUUUUAGCUUUAUGGGUGUCUUUUUAAUGCUGUUACCCCUGACAUUUUCUUUGCAACCAAAGAGAAAUAUGCUGAAUGUUCAUGAGCUUUCUGUGACAAAUUGGUUUGACUAUUGUAUGUUGUUGCUGUGAUAGAGGUUUCUUUGGGUUAGUGGGAAUUUACUUUUUCGGAAAGGAAAGUGGGGUUUCAGUUAACUCUAGCCACAUUGUUGUAUUCGGUUCAAUUCAAUUGAUUCUUUUCUAUUCUGGGUUUUUAUAUUAGAGUAACGUGAUUAUUCUUAUACGAUAAUGUUGUCUCUUCUGUUUUAAUGUGUUCUUUCAGUAACCAACUCAAACUGUUGCCGAUGUUCAUAUGUUUCUACACUACAAUGUUGUUAACAAAUCAUUUGGAAUAUGCUCUUUGUUGAAUUUUCAUUGAUUGUAUGAUACACAUAGGCCGAUCAUCAGCAAUAUGGCAGUUAAUCAGUUCAUCGGAGGACGCUCUUGUGGAAUUACUGGUACGAGUUUCCAAAGAAGAGCAAUAAACAAAAUGGGCAAAGCUUUUCCAAUCUAUAGCAUGGUCAUAGCUCCUCCCAAUUGUUCCUUUGGGGUUAUAAAUCGGGCUAAAAAUGGCUUCAACCCUGCCAUUAUGUGUUGUGGAUCAGUCAGUGAUCAACAUGCUUCGGAUUAUAUCACAAUCAAUCCUUCCGGUGUUGGGGAAAGGUUAGCAUCUGACGGUGGAGAACUGAGCAAGUAAAGCUUGAAACUUAUUUGCUUUAGGCCUUUUAACUAGAAGAUGACUUUCUGUGAAGUUUUUAUCAUUUCCUCUUGUAUCAGCACUCUCUUUCUUCUUUUUCUGGUUGCUGAGGUUCUGAAUUUUUCCCAGUGAGUCAAGGAAGAGUGCUGCCACCAGCCAAUCAUGUGUGCAAAAUGUCCAGCUUGACCUCAUAAUGCUUUCUUUACCAGCAAUUGCUGGACAAGCAAUAGAGCCCAUGGCACAACUGAUGGAAACAGCUUACAUUGGCAGACUGGGUAAGUCUAUAUUCACGCCAAAUUUCUUCACCUUCAAUUUGUUCAGAAGGUUAUUCAAAUUCCAUUUCUUUUUCCCAUGCUUCUGCUUUUCCAUGCUUUUUUCAUACUGAAUUUUCCUCUUUGGUUCAUCGAAGCUGAUUGGGAAUUUUGAAGUCGUGGUCUCUUCCUUUCGGUUGAGAAUUUUAUGAUGCAUGUGACUAUAAUUCUCUUUUAUUCCCCCUUGAGCUCUUAUAUAAUUAAUGUACUGAAAAGGUCCCUUGGAGCUGGCAUCAGCGGGUGUUUCGACAUCAAUAUUCAACAUCCUCUCAAAAGUAUUCAAUAUCCCUCUCCUUAGUGUUGCAACAUCAUUUGUGGCUGAAGAUAUCUCAAGAAGUUCAAGCAAAGAUUCUACUUCAGGUGAAGUUACAGUAGAUCUCGGAAAGCUCUAUUCAACUUUAAGACCUUACUAAGUUGUUCUUACGUUUACUUGAAUCAACUUACAUGAAAUGGUUCAACUAACUGUUCCUUUGAAUAUGACCGUAAAUGAUGUGCAGAUAGUAGCUGUCCAAACGUGAGUUACAAUGGCUGUGAUGAAUCAACUGAUAGAAAGCUUCUACCUUCUGUCUCAACGGCUUUAGUUUUAGCACUUACAAUUGGAAUUCUCGAGGCUUUAGCGAUGUACUUUGGAUCUGGACUGUUUCUCGACAUUAUGGGAAUAUCAUCAGUAAGUUGAACUCAAUUUAUUACUUUGGUUGUACUAAGGCAAUUGCAUAGUUCUCUAAUUCUGCUUCUGUUUGUCCUGACCGACCACAUUAGUGAUAUUAUAACUCGGCAUAGAUCCCAAUUCUGUUACUUGCCAAAUCUUUACUUUCAUUGUGAGUUCAUUUAUUCAUUUUUUUUAUAUGCAUCUAUUUCCAUUUACAGGGGACAACUAUAUUUAAAAAUCAUUUUCUGGACAGGCAUCAUCUAUGCGCAUUCCAGCACAGAGGUUUCUGUCUUUGAGAGCAAUUGGUGCUCCUGCAGUAGUUCUUUCUCUGGCCAUUCAGGGCAUCUUCCGUGGAUUUAAGGACACAAGAACUCCUGUAUUUUGUCUAGGCAAGAUUUUGGCCAACCUUGUGAAAUUAUUGCGAAGAAAGAAAGCUUUUCUCUUUUUGUUGCAUUUCAUAAAUGAAUGACUAGAAAGAUACAAGCAUGCAUGUUCAUGCAGCAUGUCAUUACUGCCCUGCAUAUUAUUUGUAAAUGAAGCUGUUGUACAGGCAAAAAAAUCUAUUUGUUGAGCUGGAUCUUUCUGGGGGAAACAAAGAAGUGAUUAAAUCUUAGAUGAUCGUUUUUCAGGAUUGGGGAAUUUCUCAGCUGUAUUUAUGUUUCCGAUGCUCAUGUACUAUUUUAAGCUAGGUGUAACUGGAGCAGCCAUUUCUACUGUUGGAUCUCAGUAUGUUCUCCCCCUGAUUAAAGUCUUCUUUUUCUUUGAUGACACCAAAAUCGUACAAUGACAUGAUUUGCUUCAUCUUUUUCAGAUACAUGGUCACACUUUUGAUGAUUUGGUAUCUUAAUAAGAGGACUAUUUUAUCAAUUCCCAACAUGAAGAAUUUGCACUUUGGUGACUACCUAAGAUCUGGUAAUUGUCUUCCCUUAAUAUGCCAUUAUUUCUGAAUCUAGCAUGUUUCCAUCUAUUGUUCUCUUGGGUUUUGAUGUCUUUUCAAGUACUGAAUUCAAAUUUAAAGCUUUUUGCCCAUAAAUCAUCUGCUUUUCUGUGCAUUGCAUGGAUCUAUUUGCAUACCAGGUAAAUAGAAUGAACCUUGUGUCCAGGUGGUUAUCUUCUUGGGAGAACUCUGGCUGCUGUCAUGACUAUAACUUUGAGCACUUCAAUAGCUGCUCGUCAAGGAGCUUUAGCCAUGGCAGCUCAUCAGAUAUGCUUACAAGUGUGGUUAUCUGUCUCUAUGCUUGCAGAUGCACAAGCUGCAUCUGGUCAGGUAAAAUUUGAGGAAGAUUACAGGGUUAUCCACACAGUAAUUUACAUGUAGCAAGAUAUUGUUUUAGUUAAUCAUCUGGUUGCUUUAUUGAGGUUUAAAUUUUAAAUAUAAGGAAACAAAACAAGGAGUCUCUUGAUUAUUCUUAUGAAUGUGCUUAUUUACUUAGGACUAUCCAGAUACUCUUUUUCUCUUUUAAUUUUGAAGACAAAUUGUAGAUUAAGUUGUUGGCUUACUUUUAGUUGCUUUGGACAUUGUUAAUUCUCCAUUACUUGUUGUAGGCUCUUAUUGCUAGUUCUUUUGCUAAAGGGGACUACAACACUGUGAAAGAGAUUACCCAUUUUGCUUUGAAGGUGACUUUUGCUUUACGGAACUGCAUAAGAUGUUUGGGUCAUCCGCAUUCUAAGUCUUGUUUAUUCUUUUUGGGUUGACUCUGUUUGAUGAUUAUUUGAUUCAUAUUUUCUCCAGACUGGGUUGUUUACUGGUGUUACUCUAGCUGUCAUAUUGGGUGCUUCUUUCAAUUACUUAGCCACAUUGUUUACCAGCGACACACAAGUACUUGGGAUUGUUAGAUCUGGUUUAUUGGUACGUAUGUAUCUGCUGUUGGUGUGUCUGCGACUAUAGUAAUGACUUAUGAGGUGUUAUUAUAUUCAUCACGUGAUUAUUUUUUUUUGCAGUUUGUCAGUGCCAGUCAACCUGUAACUGCAGUGGCUUAUAUUUUUGAUGGCUUGCAUUAUGGUGUCUCAGAUUUUUCUUACGCUGCUUACUCAAUGGUAAGCUACCUUACCAAAUUUGAUACUUGUUAGAUUAAAUGCUGUGAAGAUUCUAGUCAUCACUUGUAUAGGUUGUUAAAUCUGUGUAAGUGAUGUUCAGAUGGCGGUGGGAGCAAUUUCUUCAGUGUUUUUGCUCUAUGCUCCAAGAGUCUUUGGCCUUUCAGCAGUCUGGUGGGGUUUGACUCUUUUUAUGAGCUUGCGUGUGGUGGCUGGAUAUUUCAGGUACAUCUUGUGGAAUUUUGCUAAUGCAUCAUUUUGGCUGCUUAUUGAUAAUGUCACAUAAUGAAUGGUCCAGAGUAUUUAUAACUUUGUGAAAGCGCCUUUGGUUGUAUUUCCGCAGAUUAUUAUCGAAGAAUGGUCCCUGGUGGUUCUUACAGAAGCAUAUGCCAAAACUUGAGGUAUGUAUAAUGUAAAUAAAGCAUAUCGAUUUGAUUAUCAGUAAUCUAUCUUUCCCUCUUUAAAUAAACAGUUUGUGUCGGUCAUCUAUGUAUUCUUAUUUUCUUCAUUUCCAGAUUGCCAACUGAAAAGGAGAACCAUCUUGUUAGGAGCAACUCCUAGUCCUGGUGUAUGUAGUACAUAAGAAGCAAAUCAGUAUUCCCAAUCUUGUCUUUGCCCUGCUGCAUUUUAUUUUUAAUAUAUUUUUUUAAUAAUGUAUAUUUAAUGGUGACAAACUGGUGUGUGGACUUCUUAAUUUUAAUCUAUAAGAAGGAAGAUUCUGCUUUACCCAUCAAUUAUCUCCCUGCUGAGGAUUGAAACACAAAGAAGCAAAUUAAAAUAAAACACGGGUAGAGCAAGAAAAAUAAUUAAUUAAACAAUAUAGUUGCUUUAAAUACUACAAAAAUUACAAACAAAAUGCUUCACUUUAACUGACAAGCAUGGGAAUUUUUAAUGAAAAUUACAAACUCUAAUUUUUUUUUUAUGGCAAUAGUGGGUAAUAAAUUUGAUAAACAAACUAGAACAAUUUAGAGGCUGCAAAGUUGAUGGAAGAGAUAGAUGGCAAAAUCCAGAACAAAAGCCGAGAACAACAACGACAAAGGGUCAGUGAUGACAUUAUUGCUAGAUCAAAGCUUUUGAAAGUUGGAGCGAAGCUUGAUCGCCUUGAAUGACUUCUUCAUAACCCACCUUCAAAAGCCAACUGAUGUUAAACAGAUCGAUUCAUUGGAUGAGACAGUUGUGUAUGUGAGGGUAUGAGAGCAAAGAGACUUGUUGUUGUACUGUUGGGAAUGAGGCAACUGCGUGGAGACGGGAGAAAACAGCUGCUGCGGUGGAGCUUAUGGCUGCGGCUGGCAGCUAGGAGACGAGAGAGAAAGAGUUGCAAUGAGGGAGAAAGGAAAGCAGUGUAACGAUGGAGAAAGGAAAGAGCCCGUGAACUUUGUUAUUUUAAUAUUUUAAUUUUUUAAUAAAAAAGAGAAACAGAAAUAAGACCCACAGAAACUUAUUUCUGUCGUCCCUUUGUCAUUCCAAAAAAUGUAAAUCCAAAUUUCUCCCAUCGAUACGAUAUAGAAAAUGCUUAACAUCAAGAAGAAUGACGAGAGAAUGCUGAGAGAAACGGCAGCUUGUGCUGCCGUUUUAGCUUCUCUCUCUCUCUCACCAUUUUAAUAAUUUUUUAUUCUUAAAAAUAUAUUAAAAACUAAAAAAAUGACAGAAGACAGCCCAUCACGUGCAUCACUCUCUCGCUAUUCUAAUUUCUAAACAUGUUCCUUUACAUCUUUAUAAUGUUUAAGAGAAAAGUAGAAGUACAAACACAAGGCUACGAUUUUGGCUUCCCAUUUUCUAGUGUUUUUUUUUUCAACAGUAAAAAAAAUUAUCAAUAUUUACAUCAAAACAAUAUAUAUGCUCCUUUGAUAUUAAUGGCCUUUCUCCAAUUAAAUUCUUUAUCCUAUUAAAUUAGAAGAGCAAAUGAAUCGAAUCCCAAUACUAAUUAAAUAGCUUGGACUGGAACCAUACUCUAAAUCUUGAAAGUAUGGGAAUUGCUAGGGUUGAGAACCCCCUUGGCUCAUUUUCAGGUGGUUUGAUAGACGAUCAUGAGUACGGAAAAAAUUGUUCAAGAGUCAUGCCUCUUUCUCAGCAGAAUGCUAAUUUUUUAUUGUUAAAAAUAUAAAAAAAAUGAGAAAAUGACAGAAUCUGGAGAGAGUGAGGAAGCUUGAUGGGGGAGCCGCAAAGAGUGAAGCCGGAGAGAGUGAAGAAGCCAGAGACAGAGAGAGGAUGAAAGUCAAGAGAGGGAGACAGUGAUGGGGAUUUGGUAGAUGCGAGUUGUCUUCUGUCAUUUUCUUCCUUUUUUUUUAUAUUUUUAAUAAUAAAAAAUUAUUAGAAUGGUGAGAGAGUGAGAAGUCGAAACGGCAGUAACUUAGUUUAGCACAACUCUUAGCCAAAAUAACUUAGUACAAACAGAAGCUUGACCCAAAACUAACUUAACAAUACAUAAUGAAUCCAACUCUAUUAGUAACAGAGAUAAACCAAUUUUACUAGCGAGUCGUAAGCCAAAACAGGCCUCAAUCUCACCAAAAUCAACAUCAUUGACGUAACCCCAUUUGUGAACUCCUGUCACCAUCACUUUACCCUCAUGGUUAUGCACCUCAGUGCCCACAAGACCAAACACCAGAUAGCAUCAACAGCCACAUGAACAUUAAGUUUGAAGCACCCCUCAGGAGGUAAUUCCCAAUUUACCACGCCAACAACAUCAUUAGGAGAAGUAUUUGGCAAAACUACCUGCCUAGCACUCUUGAAAGAGAUUAACACACCAUUGGCACGUACAAAUAUUUGCUGUGGUUCUAACACUAGCCCCUGAUUUUGAGCCCACUUAAAUACUCCACCAAAUCAUGUCUUAGGUAUCUCUUUUUCAAUUUGUUAUCUUUUCUUAUUUUUUUCAAUUUGGGGAAAUUAGCUGUGCCGACUGCCGAGGACCCGGUUCUGCAGAAGUUGUGGUAAUUUCUCUUCUUACUGAAAUAGCAGAUACCAUAAACGUCGAUAUUUUGUCAUUCAACUGAAAAUUCAUGUAGAAAUUUGGAGUACUUAACUUUUCACAAGUUUGAAAGAUCCGUCGUCACUAAAUUGGUCAGGACAAUGAAAUCAAACCAAAAAGAAUUGGACAAAAAAAAAAAAAAAAAACUGGAUGGAGAUAUUGAUGGCAAGUGCAUGCCUGAAUCAACUCGCAUUCUCUCGUCAUUCUUGAUGUUAAGCAUUUUCCUUUGGCUAAUAGCUGACAUUCAGCAAUUGCUUAUGCCAAAGCAAGACUUUUAGAAGUUUCAUGUCUCAAGAAUUUAUAAUCAAGUACCAUAUAUUUUAGUGAAAUUUGUUUUGCAGUGUUUAGAUUCAUUUGUAUAUAUAGAUGGAAGAGUAUCCAUCCCAAUUAACUUGUAAUAAUCUUUAAACUUCUAUGAUCUGUUAAUAAUAAGUUAUUUUCUUUGAAAAAAGACACAAAAGAGAAAUUUUAAUGGUUUAUUCCUAUAAGUAUGGAUAUUUUAGAAGAGCCAUAUCCACAAGCAAGAAGAAAUUGAAGUUUUGGUAUGUUCAAAUUUUAAGAAAAAUUGAUGCAAAAUGCUAUAUGUUUGCAUUUCAAGAUCAACUGCUCCUUCACUACAAGUUUCAUCCUCCAAAUAGUCUUUCAUUUUUAGCAAAACUCAUUUCGAAGAAGAGGAGAAUGACGUAGGAAGCAUAUACUAGAAAUUACAAUAUUUGAGUCAAUUUAAUAUUUAGUAUUUUAUUAGGAUUUAUUUUGUUUCAUUAAACUUAUUUGAGUCAUAUUAGUAAUUCUAGUCCAAUUAGGAUUUUAUAUUAAUUCUCUUAUUUGAAAAAAAAUUAGAAUUAAGUUAGCUACUAGUAUAUAGACUUGUUAUUUAUAAUUUAUUUUAAGACCUUUACGUUUUUCAUCAAUAAUAUUCAGUAUUUUCUUAAUUAAUAUAUUUUCUUCUUUGUGAGAACCAUCCUCCUUGAGUUUUAUAGAAUGUACGCUAGAUGAUAUCAAGUAUCGCUUCGUAUUGCGUCACCAUUUGAUUGAAGAUGAUAUUUAUCCAAGUGAUCAACUCUAUCUCAACUAUUUUUCAGAUAAUUUCCUGAUUUAAAAUUUUAAAAAUAUCAAGAAAAAUAUUUCAACUUUUAUUUAUUAUCAUUUAGACUUAGCUCUCUUCUCAUAGUUAUUAAGAAACCCUUACAUUUAUUGUUCUAGACUUUAUAUAUAUACUUUAUAUAUAUUUAACAGCGUCAUAAAAAAACUCUUUAAAUAAGAUUUUACUUCUUAUAUGCACUUUACUAUAAAUUUUACCAUUACUCGUUUUUCACUUGACUUCAUCAAAAUUGAUCAAUUUGAUCAUCUAACAUUUUCUACACAAGUUCCUAAUUUAUCUCAAUUCACUAAACCAUCUUCAUCAGCAAUUCCACUCGGUUUCAUUUUAAAAAAAAAAUCGCAGUGAGGCUUUUUGAGUAGACGAGUAUAUGCAUCUUGUUUCAUCAUGGUUGAAUAUUAGUUUGGAUGCUGUCUAAGGAAAUAAUGAAGCACACCAAAGCUUUCGGAUUCCAGUGUUGGGUGCUCUUUUGACAACUACAACAAAUUUGAAUAGGAAUGGGAUGGAGAAAAAAAAAUCAUUGAUGCAAAGUUGGUCAAAGAUUCAGCAACCCACGGCCAAAAAAAACAGAAAAGGAUAAUUAAAUUUGUUGGAAGAAAAUAUAGAGGGUAAUUAAAUUUGUUCGAGAAAUAGAAGGUACUUUAUUUUGGUGAAGGGAAAGAUUUAAUUAAAAUGGUCACAAAGACCAGCAAAUAUUUAAAAAGAGACACCAAAAUCUUUUUUUGAACAUAAUACCCUUUGAAUAUAGUAAUUAAAAAAAUUAACCUUAAAGUUUUUUAAUUAAUUCAAAUUUAAUAUAAAUAAAAUAAUCUAUUUAGUAGACUAAUAAUAUUAAAUCAUUUGUAACAGUUAAAAUAAUAUUAAAAUUUUAAAUUAUUAUAUUUAUAUUUAAAAAUAUAUCUAUAUUUGUUAUAAAGCUUUUAAAUAAGUCUUUGGGUUAAGUAGAUUCUACAAUUAAAAAAAUAAUAUCUCCCUAUUGAUAACUUUAAUUAUUUUAUUUUAAUAUUAAGUAAAAUAUAAAUAUUUAAAUUAUUUUAAAAUGUAUAUAUUAUUACAUUUAUUUGAAGGUUAGGUUUAUAGAGUUAAAGGGUAUUAUAGUUAAAAGGGAAACUUAGUAUCCCUUACUGAAAAUUUGGGGUAUUUGUGAUCAUUUCUCUAAAAUUUUAUUUUUUCCGUCUAUUAUCUAUCAUAUGAAUAAACAAAUAGAAAUUUAAAAAGUCACCCAGUGAUGAUCUAAUUAUUUACCUAAUUUAUUUUAUUGUAACUUAUAAAAUGAUUAAAACAUAUAAAAAUUAAGUCACAUAAAAAAAGGAGCCAAGUGGGCUAAUGUGUGAUUUUUACAUUAUUUUAAUUGGCCUAUAAGUUACAAUGUAAGUUAAUAGGGCACAAAAAUAAAUAAUAGCUACCCACCUCGUUGAAUCUCUCUCUCAAUGAUACACCCCAGAGCAGGGGUCUAAAUUUAGUUAUAGAUUAUCCUCCUCGUUCAAUAAUCAGUCUUUCUUGUGAAAACACAUCUUAUUACAAUAAUAAUUAUUAUUAUUAUUAUUAUUAUUAUAUCUAAAAAAAGAGUAAGCAGUGGUACUGGUAGUCUGCAGUCUGCCGUGUAAUGAUAAUAUAUAAUAAAUAAAUAAAAACGGAAAUACGCAUCACAGUUGACACAUACCUUCAUUGAAAUCAAGAUAUAUAUAUAUAUAUAUAUAUAAUAGAGGGUCUGGCUAUCUUAUUAUUAUUAUUAUUAUUUUCAGAAGAAUUGUUUCGAACAAAUAGUAUUGUUGUAUUUGAUUAAUCACCAUUAUGAAUCAGAGUUUGAAAGGAUCAUGUGAGGUCUCAAAUAACUCAAGUUUAUCCUUAUUAAUAAAAAAAGAAAUAAAUGCGAUGGACUUGGAGCAGCAGCUGGCUCAAAGCUUGGGUUAACAACUGCCAACUGAAGUAGUAAAUUACUACCGUCGAAGGGGAAGAGAUAUCCAAUCCAAAUCCAAUCCAAUCUAUCUGAUCAGUGAACAGAAAAACACGAAAACAAUGAAUAACUUUUUGAGGGCUUCAUUGCUUGGUUUGAAUCGUAAUUAUCAGAAGCGCAUAAUAAGUCGAAGUAACCGAGGAUUUUGUGGUUUUGGGAUGGGGGUUGGUGGUCAAAAUGAAGCAGCAGAGACGGACACAUGGAAAUCAAUGGUUCGUUGCUCGGCAAACUGCUCUCCGUUGACUCCUAUAACCUUUUUGGAGAGAUCAGCAAAAGUUUACAGAGACAGACCCUCACUUGUUUAUGGUUCUUUAAACUAUACUUGGACCCAAACUCAUCAACGCUGUCUUAAACUUGCUUCUGCUCUCACCCAAUUGGGAAUUUCCAAAGGACAUGUGGUCGGUAUCUCUCUAUCACUUUCUUCGCCCAAAUUAAAUGGCUGCUUCUUCAUUUUCUUUAAUUGAAUUUUUAUACAUACAUGUUUAUGUUUCUCUUUUUUGGGGGAUCCGGACUAUACCACCCUACCACUUCCUUACAUGCUUCAUUUAAUCUUGCAAACUGGACAUUCUAUACACUCUUUAUUUCUGUUUUUGUUUUCUUGAUUUUCAUUCUCAAGUUCAUUGAAAUCCACGGUCAAUUUGGUUUUCUUUUGUGAAAAGUCAUGGUCAAUGUUUUAUUCAGUUGGCUAUUUCAUCUAUCCUAAGCCUACCUUCAUGAUUGCAAUUAUUGACUAUGUAAAUCAUACAGGUUGCAACUCUGGCCCCUAAUGUUCCAGCAGUAUAUGAGCUGCAUUUUGCAGUCCCAAUGGCUGGGGCAGUCCUUUGUACGCUUAAUUCACGUCAUGACUCGGCUAUGGUCUCAGUUUUACUUAGACAUUCCGAAGCAAAGAUUCUAUUUGUAGACUACCAGUUACUCCCCGUUGCUCGUGGGGCGCUUGAUCUUCUAGUGAAUGCGCAAGUAAAACCACCAAUCCUAGUUUUAAUUGCUGAAUCCAAUAGCUCAUCUUCUACGAGUUCAGCUGCUGUAGAUUACGAGUACGAGAGCUUCCUUGAAACAGGACAUAGUGGGUUUGAGAUAAGAAGACCAGGUAAUGAAUGGGAUCCCAUUAGUUUGAAUUAUACUUCUGGCACAACAUCACGGCCCAAAGGAGUAGUUUAUAGUCACAGGGGAGCUUAUCUUAACUCACUUGCUACGGUUUUUCUUCAUGGGAUGGGUUCAAUGCCUGUUUACUUGUGGACCGUACCUAUGUUUCACUGCAACGGCUGGUGCCUUCCCUGGGGGGUGGCAGCUAUGGGUGGCACGAACAUAUGCCUGAGAAGUGUCAAUGCUAAGGAUAUAUUUGAGAGUAUAGCUGCGCAUAAUGUGACAAACAUGGGAGCUGCACCAACUGUCCUUAACAUGAUUGUUAAUUCACCCGUCAGUGUCCAGAGGCCACUUCCCCACAAGGUGGCAAUUGCGACGGGUGGUUCACCACCACCUCCCCAGAUCCUUUCUAAGAUGGAAGAGUUGGGAUUUGACGUAACUCACUUGUAUGGCCUUACAGAAACUUAUGGCCCUGCAACUUAUUGCACAUGGCAACCUGAAUGGAAUUCUCUACCUGUAGCUGAGCGAUCAAGGAUCAAAUCCCGGCAAGGAAUGCACCAUCUGGCCUUGGAGGAUGUUGACAUAAGAGAUCCAGUCACCAUGGAAAGUGUACCAGCUGAUGCUAAAACAAUAGGUGAAAUUAUGUUCAGAGGACACACUGUAAUGAGUGGAUACCUCAAGGACUUAAAAGCAACAGAGGAAGCUUUCAGAGGUGGUUGGUUUCAUACUGGAGAUCUUGCUGUGAAGCAUCCUGAUGGCUAUAUAGAAGUAAAGGAUCGAUUGAAGGAUGUAAUAAUUUCUGGUGGAGAGAAUAUAAGCUCCGUCGAGGUAGAAACAGUAUUGUUCAGUCAUCCAGCAGUUCUCGAAGCUUCUGUUGUUGCAAGGCCAGAUGAUCACUGGGGACAGACACCUUGUGCAUUUGUUAAGUUAAAAGAAGGAUAUAGUGCUGAUGCUCAAGAAAUAAUCAAGUUUUGCCGGGAUCACUUGCCACAUUAUAUGGCUCCUAAGACAGUCAUUUUUGAAGACUUGCCCAAAACUUCAACAGGAAAAGUGCAAAAGUUCAUACUGAGGAAGAAAGCAGAGGCCCUGGGCAGCCUUUCUUAAUCCUAAAACAAAUGUAAAGUCAUGUUUCCAAAUAAAAUGUCACUUUCAUCACAUGGUCAUUGAUUAUUACAAUCUUCACAAGCUGGAGAGCCAUAAUAAAUGUCAAUUGUACAUGGCAUUUGCUUUAAUGUCAAAAUUGUCAUCAUUGUAUAGCAGAAUCCAGCACUUUUAUGAUCAUGUAUAUUUGCAGACUAAGUUGCUCAUAUAAUGGCCCGUGCAGGAUGUUGAUUAACAUCAAGGUGAAGAAUGCCACGGUGAUGUACGGAACCACAGUAUAGAUGAUCUCCAAUCUUGAUUGCACUGGAAAUGAGUGACAUUUCAGGAUCAUAAUAGUGAGCAAUUGGUUUUCCAUCCAAGUCAACGAUAAAAACCCCGCUGCUGCUUUUGCCCAUGGGUGGCAUCCCUAGGUAUCUCACCACCAUUCCUGAAACCUUUCGGAUAAAGGGAUAUCUGUAUGCUAGAUCCCAGUAAGUCGAAAAUUCCUGCAUAAUUACACAAAACUGUUUGAAAUGGGACAAAUGGUGCUGAAAUUGAUUCGUAUUACCUAUUGCCCAAAAUAAUAAUAACAACAACAUAUUACAAGUAGAAAGAAUUGUGUUUACCGUUGCUAAUGCAAUCAAGUAAUGGCCUUCUCCAUCAUAACGUAUGUUAUCAGGCAAGCCUGGCAAAGUCUCAAUGAACUUCUCCACACGUCCAGCGUUCUUGCCUUUGAUGUAAAAUUUUCUGCACCUUCUCCUGCAGCAAUAAAAAAUGAAGGCAUAAGAAAACAUAUUUAGGCUCUGUUGUGUUUUCGGCUAGUGAUUUCAUUUCACAAGAAUAGUGGAUCAAACUCAAACUAAGAAAAGUAGGCUGAAAAACAACAUACAUUGAGGUCUCACAAUAAACGAGAUGAGUUUGGUCUGGUGAAAGCACAACUCCGUUAGCAAAGUAGAGGUCAGAAACGAGAACUUUGGUUUCCUUGGUAACUGGAUCAAAGCUUAGUAAUCUGCCAUUAGGCUUUCCCUCAAAAAUAUCAAGGAUGUAUUCCCUUAAGUAGUAUUUAUUCGAAGCAUCUGUAAAAUAAAUCAUGCCAUCAUCAGCAACAUCUACCCCAUCCGUCAGCUUGAAUUUUUGACCCUCGGCCUCAUCUGUUAGCAACACUGUUGAAUUUCCACUUAUUUUCAGUAGCCCCUGUUACAUAAUGGAUACAACACAAAUCUUUUAUUUAAGAAUGUACCCAACCCUUUUUCAUAAAAGGUCAGAAGGGCCUUGUUAAUUUCCAAAUAGUAUAGUUAUUUUAUAUUGCUUAUGCUAACAAAACAAGCGAUAUUUAUUUGUUUAUUUUUAUUAUUAUUAUUAAAAAAAUGGGAGUGACAUCUAGAUUCUCAAGUUUUUUGAUAUCCUUAAUUUUUUAUUACUCAUCAAGACACGAGUCAUCAUCAUGUACACAUGAGUUAUCAUCAUAUUACAAUGCGAGUUACGAGAAAUUUUAAAAUAUAUUGUAUCAGCAUAUAAUAUAACCUUAAUUUAAAAAUGGAAUUAAAAAAAAAAAUGAACUAUUUUGGUGAAAGUUAGUGAAAGACAAGAUUGACCUUGUAAGCGUCCGCAACGAUCAUAGUGAUACGAUCGGCAUCGGGAUCGCUGUUUGCAAAAGCGAUUCCCAGUGGUCGGCCGCCAGUAUUAAUCCAGUUGUGAACAAGUGAAUCAGCCGGCGAGUCGUUGAGCGUGACUCGCUUAAUCCACCCAUCUUCACAGCCGGUGUAAAUGAGUUUGGAGUGAGCAUCAUACAAAAGAUCUUCCGGUCCCUUCAAGACUCCAUAACCUACCUUCUCCGAUCCUUGUAACAUGCGCUCGUUGCGCAGCGCCGCCGUUAAUGGCGGGUGAGUGAACUCGUGGACAGGAAUUGGAGCUGGGUCGAACGAAUCGAGUUUGUAAACCAACAUGGCUAAAAAUACAGGACCACCCGUUAAAAAUACAGUAACAAGCCAUAACCUAGAGCUGCUGCUGCUGCUGCUGGUAUCAGCGGAAACUGAUUCAGGCAUCGAGUUUGGCAUCAGUUUAGUUUGGUUUUACAGCUGUUAUGCAAAAGAGUAGUUGAGAUGAGAUUUAGCGCAUAUAUAUAUAUAUAUUUGGUUGUUUCUACGUUCAAAAUGCUCUAAUAUGUUGGACUCCAAUCUAAUAAUAAACAAUUAAAAGUCCACAUUUUUUUUUCUAGAAAUGGAUAUAAUAAAAUGUGGGUCCCCCGUCCUGAUCCACAUUUCCCUAGAAGCGGGAAGGUUGCGGCAACGGAUUUGCCAGCAUUUCAAAUACGUAAAUUGGAUUUUACUUAACAUGCGAUGCAUGUAAUUAUCUAGGCGGCUAGGCAUCAAAGGCCAUAUCCACGUGAGAAAAGUCAUAUUGCAUAAGUUGACUUGGGAAUUUUGGCUUUUCUUUUACUUGCUGGAUUCACCGAUGGGAAUCUGGAAUCGGACUAAUACCCAUAUUUACUUAGUAAAAUAAGAGAAAUAAUAAGAUUUAUUUUGGGAGACUCUACAGUAAUUUGAGAAUUAAAAAUAGAAAUCUGAUUCCUAAGGGAGCUUGGGAAUCUGACUUCCAUUCUUAAAAUUUUCUAUUUUGUCUCAAUUAAUUCUUCAUUAUUUCUAAAGUGUCCUUACUUCAAAUAAAAAAAUAUAAAUAGCGAAAAAAAAAAGAAAAAUCCUAAAACAUAAAUUCUCUCACACUCGACUUCCAGCCAAACGCCAUUGUAGGUGCUUCUAUCACCAUCAUGCCCAUAAUCAUCCACCAUCUUCAUCGUCGUUGGUCUGUCGACCGUGGACCACAGUUGGUUGCCGGUUUCGUAUUCGUUGGGUUGUCUUGAUUUCAUCUCCAUCUCAGUUUCAUCCCCAUCUCUUUUCGUCUUUGUUUCGCUGCCGAUUUCGUCUCUAAUGGCCAUGGUUCUGGUCCGAUGAUGAUGAGAUGCUAGCGAUGAUAAUUUGUUGUUGCUGCUGUAGUUGGUGACGAUGAUGAUUCCGAUUUUUAUUAUUGUUGUUUUUUUAAAUAGAUUAUUUUGUUGAUAAUGAUUAUUUGAGAUUUUGAUUAUUCUUAUUAUUAUUAUUAUUUUGUUGAUGAUGAUGAACCGAUUAUGAUUAUUAUUUUUUAAUGGAUUAUUAUUUUGUUAAUGAUUUUAUUAUUAUUAUUAAGAAGAAG
RNAcentral lists this long non-coding RNA (33473 nucleotides) under Citrus sinensis (sweet orange). Its description in RNAcentral is "long non-coding RNA (CSIN_LNC000472)". Lineage: Eukaryota; Viridiplantae; Streptophyta; Magnoliopsida; Sapindales; Rutaceae. The record is from RNAcentral.